This 406-nucleotide ribosomal RNA is filed under the name uncultured bacterium. RNAcentral describes it as "bacterial SSU rRNA". It matches the Rfam family "Bacterial small subunit ribosomal RNA", at positions 355 to 773 of the family's 1533-position model. The record is from RNAcentral.
UGGGGAAUAUUGGACAAUGGGCGAAAGCCUGAUCCAGCAACGCCGCGUGAGGGAUGACGGCCUUCGGGUUGUAAACCUCUUUCAGCAGGGACGAAGCGCAAGUGACGGUACCGGCAGAAGAAGCACCGGCCAACUACGUGCCAGCAGCCGCGGUAAUACGUAGGGUGCGAGCGUUGUCCGGAAUUAUUGGGCGUAAAGGGCUCGUAGGCGGUUUGUCACGUCGGGAGUGAAAACUCGGGGCUCAACCCCGAGCCUGCUUCCGAUACGGGCAGACUAGAGGUAGGCAGGGGAGAGCGGAACUCCUGGUGUAGCGGUGGAAUGCGCAGAUAUCAGGAAGAACACCGGUGGCGAAGGCGGCUCUCUGGGCCUUACCUGAUGCUGAGGAGCGAAAGCGUGGGUAGCGAAC